UAUUUUAAUACAUAGAAAAAAAGAUUUCUUUGGAUUUAAUAAAUUUUAUUGUAGCCAAAUAAACUUGUUAUUUGGAAUGGUCUAAAC
Mycetomoellerius zeteki is the source of this 87-nucleotide long non-coding RNA. RefSeq lists it as uncharacterized. Lineage: Eukaryota; Metazoa; Arthropoda; Insecta; Hymenoptera; Formicidae. The transcript is spliced from 3 exons. The record is from RefSeq and is a predicted model, not a curated record.